GGAAGUAAAAGUCGUAUCAAGGUUUCCGUAGGUGAACCUGCGGAAGGAUCAUUCAUAAUAAGUGUUCUACUGCACUUUUUAAAAAUAGUACUCACCUUGUGUGCAAUAUUGUGUUUCUUUUCGGAGAAACACCUACACCAACCUAUAACCUUGAACCACUUUGUCUGAAAAACUAUUAUGAAUACUUAAUUCAAAAUACAACUUUCAACAACGGAUCUCUUGGCUCUC
This 228-nucleotide unclassified non-coding RNA is filed under the name plant metagenome. RNAcentral describes it as "partial contains small subunit ribosomal RNA, internal transcribed spacer 1, and 5.8S ribosomal RNA". The stretch from base 1 to 54 matches the Rfam family "Eukaryotic small subunit ribosomal RNA", at positions 1778 to 1831 of the family's 1831-position model. The record is from RNAcentral.